UUGUGAUAUAUGGUGAGUGAGUCAAUGGUCAAAACACAAUGUUGAUUUAGACAUACAAAGUGGUAAAGGAUGAUUAUGCGAGAACAUGAUAUAUUUUGAAAAUAAUUAAAAAGUAUUUUUAGAAUCAAUUUAUUCUACCACAAUUGUUGUGAUUGUAUGCCUUAAAUAAACUUUUCUUCAAUAUGGACUUUUAAGACUUGUAACGUGGCUUAUUUCAUGGUUUUUGAAUAAAAGGAUUAUAAGGCUCAAAUUUCAAUUGUAACCACCAUUUC
Molecule: long non-coding RNA, 272 nt
Filed under: Lathyrus oleraceus (garden pea)
Lineage: Eukaryota; Viridiplantae; Streptophyta; Magnoliopsida; Fabales; Fabaceae
Description: Pisum sativum (pea) long non-coding RNA (PSAT_LNC031133)
Source: RNAcentral